Molecule: transfer RNA, 87 nt
Filed under: Gammaproteobacteria bacterium
Lineage: Bacteria; Pseudomonadati; Pseudomonadota; Gammaproteobacteria
Description: tRNA-Leu
Rfam family: tRNA
About the family: Transfer RNA (tRNA) molecules are approximately 80 nucleotides in length. Their secondary structure includes four short double-helical elements and three loops (D, anti-codon, and T loops).
Source: RNAcentral
GCCCGGGUGGCGGAAUUGGUAGACGCUGCGGACUUAAAAUCCGCUGAACGAAAGUUCGUGCCGGUUCGAGUCCGGCCCUGGGCACCA